This 459-nucleotide ribosomal RNA is filed under the name uncultured Lactobacillus sp. Its description in RNAcentral is "bacterial SSU rRNA". It matches the Rfam family "Bacterial small subunit ribosomal RNA", at positions 72 to 507 of the family's 1533-position model. Lineage: Bacteria; Bacillati; Bacillota; Bacilli; Lactobacillales; Lactobacillaceae. The record is from RNAcentral.
ACUAAAUAGAAACUAAGAUACGAAGCGGAGCGGGCGGACGGGUCGAGUAACACGUAGGGUAACCUAGCCCAAGAGACUGGGAUAACACCUGGAAACAGAUAGCUAAUACCGGAUAACAACACUAGACGCAUGUCUAGAGUUUGAAAGAUGGUUCUGCUAUCACUCUUGGAUGGACCUGCGGUGCAUUAGCUAGUUGGUAAGGUAACGGCUUACCAAGGCAAUGAUGCAUAGCCGAGUUGAGAGACUGAUCGGCCACAUUGGGACUGAGACACGGCCCAAACUCCUACGGGAGGCAGCAGUAGGGAAUCUUCCACAAUGGACGAAAGUCUGAUGGAGCAACGCCGCGUGAGUGAAGAAGGGUUUCGGCUCGUAAAGCUCUGUUGGUAGUGAAGAAAGAUAGAGGUAGUAACUGGCCUUUAUUUGACGAUAAUUACUUAGAAAGUCACGGCUAACUACGUG